AGCCAGUAAUGUCGACUUGAGUGAUUUGACCGACGAGGACUUCCGUGUUCUCGUGCAGCAUGUCCAGGAAAAUCUCAGACGAGCAGUCGAUGAAAUGAGCCUAGACGAGGUUGAGAUGGUACAUGACGAAAAGAGUCUUGA
Molecule: unclassified non-coding RNA, 141 nt
Filed under: Gigantopelta aegis
Lineage: Eukaryota; Metazoa; Mollusca; Gastropoda; Neomphalida; Peltospiridae
Description: uncharacterized LOC121376958, transcript variant X2
Source: RNAcentral